This 301-nucleotide ribosomal RNA is filed under the name uncultured bacterium. RNAcentral describes it as "partial 16S ribosomal RNA". It matches the Rfam family "Bacterial small subunit ribosomal RNA", at positions 509 to 809 of the family's 1533-position model. The record is from RNAcentral.
CAGUCGCCGCGGUAAUACGGAGGGUGCGAGCGUUAAUCGGAAUUACUGGGCGUAAAGCGUACGCAGGCGGUUUGUUAAGUCAGAUGUGAAAUCCCCGAGCUUAACUCGGGAACUGCAUUUGAAACUGGCAGGCUAGAGUCUCGUAGAGGGGGGUAGAAUUCCAGGUGUAGCGGUGAAAUGCGUAGAGAUCUGGAGGAAUACCGGUGGCGAAGGCGGCCCCCUGGACGAAGACUGACGCUCAGGUACGAAAGCGUGGGGAGCAAACAGGAUUAGAUACCCCUGUAGUCCCUGUCUCUUAUAA